This 253-nucleotide ribosomal RNA is filed under the name uncultured bacterium. Its description in RNAcentral is "partial 16S ribosomal RNA". It matches the Rfam family "Bacterial small subunit ribosomal RNA", at positions 524 to 776 of the family's 1533-position model. The record is from RNAcentral.
UACGUAGGGUGCAAGCGUUGUCCGGAAUUAUUGGGCGUAAAGAGCUUGUAGGCGGUUUGUCGCGUCUGCUGUGAAAUUUCGGGGCUCAACCCCGAACUUGCAGUGGGUACGGGCAGACUAGAGUGUGGUAGGGGAGACUGGAAUUCCUGGUGUAGCGGUGAAAUGCGCAGAUAUCAGGAGGAACACCGAUGGCGAAGGCAGCCCCCUGGGCUAAGACUGACGCUGAGGCACGAAAGCGUGGGGAGCAAACAGG